GGGUCUGUGGCAGAGCGGUUGAAUGCACCGGUCUUGAAAACCGGCGUGGGGAAACCCAUCGUGAGUUCGAAUCUCACCGGACCCGCCA
This 88-nucleotide transfer RNA is filed under the name Azonexus fungiphilus. RNAcentral describes it as "tRNA-Ser". It matches the Rfam family "tRNA". From Rfam's summary of the family: Transfer RNA (tRNA) molecules are approximately 80 nucleotides in length. Their secondary structure includes four short double-helical elements and three loops (D, anti-codon, and T loops). Further hydrogen bonds mediate the characteristic L-shaped molecular structure. tRNAs have two regions of fundamental functional importance: the anti-codon, which is responsible for specific mRNA codon recognition, and the 3' end, to which the tRNAs corresponding amino acid is attached (by aminoacyl-tRNA synthetases). tRNAs cope with the degeneracy of the genetic code in two manners: having more than one tRNA (with a specific anti-codon) for a particular amino acid; and 'wobble' base-pairing, i.e. permitting non-standard base-pairing at the 3rd anti-codon position. RNAcentral also lists the same sequence under 13 other names. The record is from RNAcentral. Lineage: Bacteria; Pseudomonadati; Pseudomonadota; Betaproteobacteria; Rhodocyclales; Azonexaceae.